AGCGAACGCUGGCGGCAGGCUUAACACAUGCAAGUCGAGCGGGCACUUCGGUGUCAGCGGCAGACGGGUGAGUAACACGUGGGAACGUACCCUUUGGUUCGGAAUAACGCUGGGAAACUAGCGCUAAUACCGGAUACGCUCUUUUGGGGAAAGGUUUGCUGCCGAAGGAUAGGCGCGCGUCUGAUUGGCUAGUUGGUGUGGUAAUGGCCUACCUAGGCGACGAUCAGUAGCUGGUCUGAGAGGAUGAUCAGCCACACUGGGACUGAGACACGGCGGAGACUCCUGCGGGAGGGAGGAGAGGGGAAUAUAGGAAAAUGGGGUCAAGGCUGAUGCAGCCAUGCUGGGUGAGUGAUGAAGGCCGGAGGGAUGUAAAGCUGUUUUGUCCGGGACGAUAAUGACGGUACCGGAAGAAUAAGCCCCGGCUAACUUCGUG
Molecule: ribosomal RNA, 433 nt
Filed under: uncultured bacterium
Lineage: Bacteria
Description: partial 16S ribosomal RNA
Rfam family: Bacterial small subunit ribosomal RNA
Source: RNAcentral